RNAcentral lists this ribosomal RNA (216 nucleotides) under Glomeromycotina sp. RNAcentral describes it as "partial small subunit ribosomal RNA". The stretch from base 40 to 216 matches the Rfam family "Eukaryotic small subunit ribosomal RNA", at positions 686 to 864 of the family's 1831-position model. Lineage: Eukaryota; Fungi; Glomeromycota. The record is from RNAcentral.
GGGUCAGUAGGUUGGUCGUGCCACCGGUACGUACUGGUCUCACUGAUUCCUCCUUCCUGAAGAACCGUAAUGCCAUUAAUUUGGUGUUGCGGGAAAACAGGACUGUCACUUUGAAAAAAUUAGAGUGUUUAAAGCAAGCUAACGCUUGAAUACAUUAGCAUGGAAUAAUGAAAUAGGACGAUCGAUCCUAUUUUGUUGGUUUCUAGGAUUGACGUA